Non-coding RNA from Physcomitrium patens, 1356 nucleotides. NCBI's taxonomy places the organism in Eukaryota, Viridiplantae, Streptophyta, Bryopsida, Funariales, Funariaceae. The record is from RefSeq and is a predicted model, not a curated record.
AGGGUUGAUCAGUAGGUGUAAAUAUAUUUAACAUUUAAUAGUGAUUAGGAGGUAUUCACAAUUGUUUAAAAACGAUGAGUUUUUUUUAAUUAGAAACUAAUUAUUACUUUUAUUCUAGCAAUAAAUUAGUAAUUUGUGCUGUUGAUUGUCACAACAUGAUUUAAUUGAUCUUCUCUUUACAUCUGAUUUUGUUUAUAAUAGUAUUGAAUUUUAGCAAUAAUGAGCACUCCCGAAGUGGAUGCCCUCUCCAUCUCUGGAGCCCCAAAAGGCUGCAGCUGAGGCGAUGAAGGUCUUUUGGAGCAAAACAAAGUUGUGGGUUCCAACAUGGAGAAUAAUGUGUUGUGGUCCUCACAAUUAACCGGCUUGGUUUGUUACGGGCAACAAGUCUGUGAUGAGGAAGGGAUGAGUGUGCUCUUGCAAGUUAGAACCAUUGCAGAAAUCGGAGCGUGGUCGUUAGAGGUAGAGGACUUGCUGCAUUGGGCAGCACCGAGAUCUGGUAGUGUGGGCUUUACUCUUCAACCGAGCUUGUUAACGCAAGAAACUCGUGUGAUUGAAAUACAUUUGAGUACGAUGGCAAAUCCCAGUCCAGCUGGAUUACAUUUUCGUUAGGAGGGUACUGAACGAGCGUGUAUUCGAUUGCAGGAUUUAGAGUCUCGUCAGAGUUCAUGUAGUAUCAGGGAGGUUAGGGUUUGUAAAAGGAGUAGUUUAUAGGUUGGUAUGACUCGGAUUGACAAGCUGGAACUGAUUUAAUCGAAUGUGAUUUCAUCAUCACAUAAUUCAAAGAAAAAAUUAAGAUGCUGACACUUAGUCAAUUUCAUAUGAAGGCUUCAACUUGGAUCUAGAACCAAGGACGUAGUUGCCCUGAAUGGAUCGGUAGGUGGGCCUCGCUUCCAAUAUUUGCAUGCGGGGGCAUUGUUCAUACGUGUGCGGUUUGUAGCGGAGAUCUGAAAGUUCUUCGCAACAUGCAAGAGCAUACAAAUGGACAUUAGAAGAAUUGCGAAGGACUUUAGAUCUGUUUUGGGGCUUCUCUCUGGUUCCCUUGCCGGUUCCCUCUUGGCAGAGUGAGGGAGACAUCCAUAGACUCUGUUUGCAUCAACCUAAGCAUCCCUCUCAUUGCUUAUCAGUCUGCAAAGGAUGUUAUCAGAAUCUGUGGCAAAGGAAAUGUCAUUGUUCUGAAGUUGAAGGUUAACUUCGCUAGCACCAGAUAUGAAGCAACUUGUACGCGAGAUUGAGUGGCACCAUGUUCGUCCAAGUAGGUCCCUUCAAAGAGACACGUGCUUGAUUCCACACAUGAAGUGGUGAAGGAUCCAACUUUUUUAUUCAAUACUAUCAGUUCCUGAAAGAUUUUGACUCAAA